Molecule: ribosomal RNA, 120 nt
Filed under: Periophthalmus magnuspinnatus
Lineage: Eukaryota; Metazoa; Chordata; Actinopteri; Gobiiformes; Gobiidae
Source: RNAcentral
UUGUGUGGCCGAACCUCCUCAUCAAAGCCAGAUCUCGUCAGAUCUCAGAAGCUAAAAGCAGGGUUGGGCCUGGUUUGUACUUGGAUGGGAGAUCACAGAGAAUAUCAGGUGCCACAGUGA